RNAcentral lists this ribosomal RNA (239 nucleotides) under uncultured bacterium. RNAcentral describes it as "partial 16S ribosomal RNA". It matches the Rfam family "Bacterial small subunit ribosomal RNA", at positions 100 to 334 of the family's 1533-position model. The record is from RNAcentral.
CCGGCACGGGUGAGUAACACGUAUCCAACCUGCCGUCUACUCUUGGCCAGCCUUCUGAAAGGAAGAUUAAUCCAGGAUGGCAUCAUGAGUUCACAUGUCCGCAUGAUUAAAGGUAUUUUCCGGUAGACGAUGGGGAUGCGUUCCAUUAGAUAGUAGGCGGGGUAACGGCCCACCUAGUCAACGAUGGAUAGGGGUUCUGAGAGGAAGGCCCCCCACAUUGGGACUGAGACACGGUCCAA